Molecule: microRNA precursor, 112 nt
Filed under: Chlorocebus sabaeus (green monkey)
Lineage: Eukaryota; Metazoa; Chordata; Mammalia; Primates; Cercopithecidae
Description: miRNA (ENSCSAG00000022613.1)
Source: RNAcentral
CCUGGGGAUCUUGCAUCAAUGCAGAUUCUGGCUUAGGAAGUCUGAGGUGGGGCCUGGGAUUCUGAAUUCCUAACAAGUUCCCAGGUGAUGCUGAUGCUACUGGUCCACAGGC